This is a long non-coding RNA of Cynoglossus semilaevis (tongue sole), 2670 nucleotides long. RefSeq lists it as uncharacterized. The transcript has 4 exons. Lineage: Eukaryota; Metazoa; Chordata; Actinopteri; Pleuronectiformes; Cynoglossidae. The record is from RefSeq and is a predicted model, not a curated record.
UGUGACCUACAUUUUACGGCCCUGACGUUGGAGUGACUUUUGUUUUUUGUUUUUUUGCUUCGUUUUUUGUACAAAAAAGUUUGACUGGUGCUGAUUUACACACACACACACACACACACACGCUGUGACCGUGCAGUGAACUGUCAGAGUAAUGGAUGGAGCAGAAAUGUGUUCCAGAGCAGUGGAGGUGCCCGGACAGGCCUGUCUCCUCCUUCACCUCCUUCUCCUGGAGGAGUCAACAGCGCAGGUAUUUGUGCUCCUUCGUUGGAACUAAUUUUAAUAAUAAUAAUAAUAAUGUCAGUACUAACAACAGUUCCAGUUCCUGUCCCUGUUUCUCCGCAGCACCUCCUCAGUCCUGUCCAAUCACAGCCGAGCUGCAGCCAAAUACUGACCGAGAAGCUCACGUGACUUUGAGGCCUGUGUCUUUAAAUGUUCUUCUUCGUUUGUUGACUUUUUGUUGACCAGUGUGUGUUUUUGCUGUGACGUCAUGUGUUUGUAGUGAUUUCUUUCAGGCUCGUUCACAGGUAUCGUUUCCUGAAACUUCGUGUUUCUGAGACUCGACUCACUGUUCGGGUGAAGACGUUCAUCUCCGGCUCUGUUUACGACUCGUCUCUCCUGAGGUAAAACCUCCUCGGUGAUGAGUUCACUGACCCUGCGUCCAGUCCACAGAUGGUCAGCGGGGAUUUCAUGUCAGAGAAUGUCGUCGUUGCUGCAGAAAAUUAGUGAAAUAAAACUUUUACCUGGAACGGAGGUGAGCGCUCAUCGUCAAGACCUUUGAUUGGACGUCCAUCUGGACCGCAGGCAGGAGAGGAAGAGGAGGAAGAGGAGGAGAGUGGAAGGCCGUGAACCUCGGAGUCCCUGCAGGCGAGACUUUGCAGACGUUAACGCUCUGCUCUGCACAAUUUAUGGAGCAUAGACAGUUUAUAAGGAGCAGCAGAGUCUAUCAGAGAAGCAGGAGGAGGAAGAGGAGGAAGAGGAGGAGGAGGAAGGCGUUCAUGCAGGAUGGAGCAGGGAGAACCACUGCUCUGACCAAAUAUGUCUUGUGUGAAAUGUUGUGACUCUUCAUCACUCAGUUUGAGUCGGGAUAUGACAUCACUGAUGACAUCAGUGAUGACAUCAGUGAUGACAUCAGUGACGACAUCAGUGAUGACAUCAGACGAUACCAGUUAGUAUCAUUUUUGGCUAAAGUUUUCCACUAACUCCUCCUUUCAUUUCAGCUGAAGGAGCCGAGGAGUCGACGGUGAAUUUCAUGUUUCAUGUCCCGUUCACCUGGACGUCAUUUUAACUUUGGUAAGAUACAGAUUUCAUGGCUAUAAUUUUCACCUCUUUUUUUCUCAUUUUUGUUGUUUUACGUUUUUGUCAUUGCGGUUGUUAAAGAUCGGACGUCGUUAUUUCACUCUCCCCAAAAUCACGAUUGGUUUUGACCGAAAAUAUGACGACAAGGUGUUUGCUGCAAAACAGUCGCAACAAAAAGUGUCAGAAGUUUGGAACUGGGCGGAAGAUGAAAGUGACCCCCCCCAUCCCCCCCACCUCACCACCCUCACCCUCACAGGCCUGACAUCUGUCAGUAGUCGCCGGGCGACUUGUUAUGCUAAUGAAAGAUUGAUUCUCAGGAGACGCCAACAGUUUAAACCGCUGGUCAGUCUGACGUCCACGUAGACGUCAUCGGUCUCUGUGGACGGCCAGGUUCUUAGACCCGUUCUCCAAAAUGUCAUUUAAAUAAUGGAGCGCUGAUGUCAGUGAGAGAGAGAGAGAGAGAGAGAGAGAGAGAGAGAGUGAGAGAGUGAACAUGAGGCUGUUUCAACAACAGCUGAGUUUAUGUUGUUAAAUGUAGCGUGAAAGACACAGAGGUUUCACACCAGUGUGACCAGCCUCUGGGGCAGGGACCGUUUAUGUCCAGUUGGGAAUUCCUCCGCGGGCCUGUUAUCACACACACAUCUAUCUGAUGAUCAAUUAUCAAGUCAUUAAAAGUCGUUAUGGAGACAGUACUGACUAAACACAGGCUUGUCACCGCUGACUGUUUCUGAUACAGCCGUGUACUCGUUGUUGUGACUUUCACGUGAACAAGACAAAGAUGUAAAAUGGACGACUGUUCUGAUUGCGUUUCAAACUGAGAGAGAGAAAAAAACAAUGUUAUAUUUAGAUUUACAAUAUUGUAAAAAACAUAACUGAGCGAGAAGAGAAAACACUUGGAGGCCAUUUUAUCAAACUCUAAAACAUAAACAGAUGCCGUUUGUUUUAACAGCCUCCGUUGACAUCAGCCAGCUCUUCUCUUGUCUGGGUCUGUGACCCUGAGAGAACAGGACCACCGUUGACCUUGGCUUUGCUCUGUUAUGGCUUGGCGCCUGUUAACGGUGGCCGUGAGUUGUAGCCUGGUGUUAAACUGUGAUCCAGCCACAGUCAAUGUUUAUGUCCACCUAUCAAAUGCAAUGUGUUUAUGUUAUAUGGCAUUAUGGACAAACAGGCACUCUGAAAGGAUGAAGUGUGAGUGUGGUCCAAGACCAGAGCAGAGGGGGUUUAUGGUCCGUUAGAGAGGGCAGAAAUCUCAAGUGCCAAUCCGAGAGACAAAUGGCUGAUAUAGUUUUCUGUUUGAUUUCAACAUCUGACCAAAAAAGUGGGAUUUUAAUCAAAAUAAAUUAAAAAUGUGUGUUUAAAACUCCAAAAAUAUUU